RNAcentral lists this long non-coding RNA (4232 nucleotides) under Olea europaea subsp. europaea. The record is from RNAcentral. Lineage: Eukaryota; Viridiplantae; Streptophyta; Magnoliopsida; Lamiales; Oleaceae.
UUGAAGGAUUGAUAUCUUCGUGCUUGUACUUUUCUACCAACGCCAAGUAAAAUAUAUCUUCUUUAAGAUGUUAAUGUUUAUCGUUAAGCUUUUCUGCAAUCUUAAUAACUCGAGGGCUGUCAACAAUUUGAAUAACAAAGUUAUGCUGAGCAACUUCUUAAAUUACUUUCUUAACUUCUAUAACAGCAACUUCUAAAACCUGCUCAGCACUAACACACACACACACAGAGAAGAGGGACGGGACCUGCAGAAAUCGGAGAAGGGGGAAUUACGGAAGGCAGAGCGAGAGGAAGAGCGAGAAUUGGCUCCCCAACCCAUGCCUAGGGUUUUCUGGGUUGUAUUCUUCUUCUUCUUAUCAUUCUUCGUACUUUUAGCACCACUGCUACUGGUUUUGUUAGAAGGAUUAGAAGAGAUUGAAUUGAAGCCCCGUUUCGAAUUCGAAACAGAGUUUCCGGAGCGAGUCGAAUCGAAACUCAUCUUCACGAAUCACGAAUUAUGCAAUUGCAUUUUGAGAUGUUCAGAGAUUAAAAAAUAUUAAGAAACUUGCAGAGAAUGCAUUUGAAAUGAAUAGGAAAUUUUCUUAUAAUUUUGAGUUUACAUUUAACCACCGAUCGACCAUUUGCGGGAGCGGGACGAGAUUGCCUGCAGUGCUAUGCGGUGCAAUGUUUUGAUCACUAUAUUCCAUAGAAAAAAUAUAUGAAAAAGGAAAAAAGAAAAAGAACUAAAAAUUUAGCCCCUGGUUGGCCUUCAUUAAUUUCUAUUUCAUUAAAUUUCUUUUUUUUCUCUCCUACUUUUAACCACACAAUCUUCCAUAAAAUAAUAUUACACGUAAAGCGAAAAAUUUUCUUUCUUUUUCAACUACUCAUUUUUCACAAAAACAAUAUUCCACCCAUUAAAUUUUCUACAAAAUGGGGGCCAAACCGGGGCUUAAUCACUAUAUUUGGGUGGGGGCCAACACAUUCAAUCUACGUUAAGUAAGCUAAAAGCCAUUAUCUCGGCCAAAUAAAAAAUAAUAAAACCUUAUAAUUAUGCAAGAGAAAAGUUGUUCAAUUAAUCUUUAAAUAUUUUUCCAGAUUUUAUUCCUAUCUUGGUUGCCAAACAUUAAUGAAAAACAAGUGUGAAUUAAGGUUCUUUACCUUAAAUAGAUAUUUCUUUCCAUUUUGUAUUAAUUAAUUUUAGGACAAAUUAUUCUUGAUGAUUUAUAUAAUUAAGGCCUUAAAAAACUCGAUGGUGUCAUAAUUUAUAUACAUUAGCGCCAACGGGUCUUUGUUCAUAUAUAUGUGAUUCCCGAAUCAAACAUUAUUUUUAAAACAAUAUACAAAUUCAAACACAACCUAAGUGAGAUUCUAUAUUUAUUAAACAAACCUCAUGGGGCUGCAAUUUCUUGCCGUAGAAAACAUUAGGUUGAAUCCCUCCCUUCAUCAUCUCAUCAUCCACAAGUUUGCUGUAGAAGACAACAUCUGCUCAUUUUGCCUGACCAAUAUAAUUGUCAUCUACUCAAGAACAUUUGAAAUUUUGGCAUGCUUAUAAAAGAUUAAUAAUGGAUGAUCUCGUUGAACUAUAUUGUUGUGGUUGGACAACAAGCAUGAUCUACAUGAUAUUAGCAUUAGAGGAUAAUAAUAAUUAAUAUUUUUUCCUGUUAGUUAUUUGUUAGAUAUAUUUCAUGUUCAGUAAAUAUCUAUUAGAUGCACAGGUUUGAAUGAGAAGUUUCCAAAUAUCAACUAAUACCUGUCUUUUCAUCUUUUUGUUUAUGUGGAAACUGUAUUCAGAUGGUAGAAAAGUUGAUCAAUGAGCAUGAAGAAUGUGUAGAAGGUAAAUUUAACUCAAUUAAAAGCCUAAAGGAAACAAAUGCUCCAAGCGUAUCUUUUGUCAGACACGUAACUAUCACUCUCUAAUGACCGAAUAAGUUUUCAUUAUUUGGAUCAAUAUUUUUGCUAUUAAUGAAUUGAGUUUGUUGUUUAUUAAAUGACAACCUUAGAAUGUUUUCUAAGAAGAAAUGAUAAAUAUAUGAGCAUGUUUUCGAAUUGUGAUGUAAAUAUUGAUCAUGCAAGUUUGAUCCAUAUCUUAUCAUUAGCUAAAUAUGAUUGGAGACCAGUUAGAUGACUGUAUAUACAUUUUUAGCCCCUGAUUGGUAGAAAUCAUUUGUUAUCUCUUGAAACCAAUCCACACAUAAGGCCAUACCAAAUUUAUCAACACCACCGCUUACACUCCAUAGAUUAGCCACUAUGUUAGGAGAACCUAUUGAUGAAUACAAAAUAGGAGCACCUUCCGGGGUGUAAAGCCCAUUUAGUUUUAGUUCACCACUUUCGCAUCCUAAUAGUAUUGUAGCCGCACAACCAUUGAGUUCUUGAAUUUUUUCUUUAAGGUCAAUGUUCAACUAUAAAAUGACAAGGUAAAAAUGAAAUUGGGUUUAACGAUUCUCUAGAAAUACAAAGUAGGGGGAAAAAAGAAUACAUACCUGACUAUGCUUUACUUAAACUACUUAUUUGUGAAACUUGAUUUCCAAAGUAACUUUUUUUUUAUUGACAAAUCUUGCUUUUGCUUUUCUCGAACCUACAUUCACAAGUGUUAACUUUUAAGUACAAUCAAAUAUAUUCUAGUUGUUUACCAUCUACAUGGACCGAGCAAACACAGAGGUCGUGAUUUUUCAAAGUUACAAUUAGCUCAUUGUUUGGAAAAAAUAUUUAUACGUACCAUGCAUAGAAAAGUCGAAGAAGAAACUUCAAUCCAAUUUGGCAAAUCUUUGUUUUUCUUAUCAAGUAUGAGAAAUAAAGAACUAGAUUACCUUGCAAUUCUCUUUUUGCAACAAUUUCUCAAAUUUAACCUGUUCACUUCCAACGCAGUCAUUGUUAGGAUUUAUUACAUAAUAUAGGUUGCGAGGAUUUAUCAAUAGAAAUGAUACAGAAUUUGUCGAAAACUACACUUGUUCUUGGCAACGCGUGUGAAUUGUUGCAAGAAUGCUUUCAACAGAUGACAUACGAUAAAUCUCUUCGUUUUCCAAUAUCGACAGAUUCUCCCAUGAAAAUAACUGUAGAAAAUUAUCAAUAUUGCUUAAAUAACCUAUAUUAAAAACGUAAGAUUAUUUAUGAUCAAUAUGACACGAAUCAAUCAAAGAAAUUAUCGAUUAUAUUUAUAUAAAUUACUAUAAUGAAAUGAAAAGCAUAACAUGUUAGAUUCAUUUAUUCGAUUUUCAAAUAUAAAAAUUCUAAUUAAUUGGUUAAAUAGAAACUCUAAAAACUUAUAAAAAUAUAAUAGAAAAUAACAAAAGAAAAUAUUUGAAAGUAAUAAAUUAAAGGUGUGUACUUGAACAUCAUAAUCUAGGAUUGGAAAGAUGAGACUUCUUUUCAUGCAAUCUAUCCCACCGUUAUCGCGUGUUUUUUGUUUUGAACACAGAACUCAAUAGGGAAAUAGAUUUUCCUGGCUUUAUGCCAACAUAACAUCAUUUCGUCAAAAUAUACGGUAAAUAUCUUCCGUCUAUGGACAUAUAUUCUUUCAUAAAUACAAGGUGUUUAGAAUUUGGUCACUGUCCCAACAUGACAUGUUUUCAAGCAUUAAAAUUUCCAACCUUGGGGUUUCACUAUGAAUUUGCUCAAUUAUGUUAGGAACAUUAAUUUAUAGCAGCGAAUUUACAAGUAUUAAAAUUAUGAAUAUUUUUUAUUCAAUUAGGUUUAUGUCAAUGUGUCUUCAUGUAUCAGAAAUACGGAAGCCUUUUGGCUUGGUGCCUGAAAACAUGACAUGUUGGGGUAGAUUAUGUUAGGAACCUUGGUUUAUAGCAACGAAUUUACUAGCAUUAAAAUGAUGAAUUUUUUUUAUUUAAUUAAAUUUUAUGUCAAUGUGUCUUCAUAUAUCAGAGAUAUGAAAGCUUUUUGGCUUGGUGUUUGAAAACAUGCCAUGUUGGGAUGUGGCCAAAUUCUUAACACCUUGUAUUUAGGAAAGAGUACCUAUCUGUAGAUGAAAGAUAUUUACUGUAUAUUUUGAUGAAACGAUGUUAUAUUGGCAUAAAGUCGAUAGUAUCUACAUUCCUAUUGAGUUCUAUGUUCAAAACACGUGAUAACGACGAGAUUGAUUGUGUAAAAAGAAGUCCCAUCAUUCUAAUCCUAGAAUUCGAGGUUCAUGUAUACACACUUAAUUUAUUACUUUCAUGUAUCUUCUUUUGUUUUUUUCUGCUAUGUUUUUAUAAGCUUUUAUUAGAGUUUCUAUAAUUAAUUAAAAUUUUUAUAUUUGAAAAUCAG